Perognathus longimembris pacificus (Pacific pocket mouse) is the source of this 107-nucleotide small nuclear RNA. The record is from RefSeq and is a predicted model, not a curated record. Lineage: Eukaryota; Metazoa; Chordata; Mammalia; Rodentia; Heteromyidae.
GUGCUCCCUUCGGCAGCACAUACACUAAAGUUGGAAUGAUACAGAGAAUAUCAGCAUGGCCGGCGCACAAGGAUGAUAUGCAAAUUCAUGAAGCAUUCCAUAGUUUU